CUCUAACAGCCCUCUGAGGAGUGGCCAGUGAAGUUAUCACUAGGCUGUUAAGUAAACACUGCAUUUUCUCUGAAAAGACAGUGUUUACAGCAAAAAGCCUGAAGGUGAUGAUUCUACUCACCAGAAUAAAUUCAAUAAGCUGUAGUUGUUCUGGUGACUAUAGUGUCCCUUUAAAAUAAGGAAGAACCGAGUGGUAGACCGUAAAUUUACUGCUAGUUUUGUAUUAUUUUCUACGUCUAAUAGCAAGUACCGUAAUAAUAGGGAGAACAAGG
This is a non-coding RNA of Pelobates cultripes (western spadefoot toad), 272 nucleotides long. The record is from the annotation of a GenBank genome assembly. Lineage: Eukaryota; Metazoa; Chordata; Amphibia; Anura; Pelobatidae.